UACGGGGGGGGCAAGCGUUGUUCGAAAUUACUGGGCGUAAAGGGCUCGUAGGUGGCCAACUAAGUCAGACGUGAAAUCCCCAGGCUCAACUUGGGAACUGCGUCUGAUACUGGAUGGCUUGAAUUCGGGAGAGGGAUGCAGAAUUCCAGGUGUAGCGGUGAAAUGCGUAGAUAUCUGGAGGAAUACCGGUGGCGAAGGCGGCAUCCUGGACCGAUAUUGACACUGAGGAGCGAAAGCCAGGGGAGCAAACGGG
This 253-nucleotide ribosomal RNA is filed under the name uncultured bacterium. RNAcentral's name for it is "partial 16S ribosomal RNA". It matches the Rfam family "Bacterial small subunit ribosomal RNA", at positions 524 to 776 of the family's 1533-position model. The record is from RNAcentral.